GCCGGCGGCGAGGAGUCCAGAGCCCAAGGUCGCCCAGUCCUCUCGGCUGUCUCGAGCUGAAUGGCUGGCAGUCUGCGGCUCCCCCGCCUCCGGCCCGGCAGCCACAGGUCGGAGGCGCCCGGCGUCCGCGCUCGAGGCCGGCAGGGGCGCCCUGCACCCUCCCGCGCCCUUCCCCGCCCUACGCUACUCCGGGCUGCUCUUCCCGCCACUCCCCUGGGCUUUGCCAUCUUCCCUACGCCCCCCGGGAAGGGGGCGCUGCGGCCACCGAAGACACCGCGGGAGCCACUUGUCCCUGUGGGCCCAGCCCGCGAGAGCCUGAGAGCCGGAUCUGUUUACACAGGGUACUAAUUAGUCUUUGAGGAAUCAUUCACCCACGUGCCAAAGUAAUUGUCCGUGUCGGGAAGGUAGGCGUGCCAAGCCGCGGCUCUGCGGAGAAACCACGACCACCGCGGCCGCCGGAAACCCAAAGCGCUCCAGAGCGUCCCCGGGUGGCCGGGCAGCACCAGGGACAGCGCCCGGGACUCCACUGGGGACCGGCUCCUGGGCUUCCCAGCGUCGCGGGUAGAGGUACGGCUGCUCCGUGUGCCGCAGGCUCCAGAUUCUCGCCACCCCACCCCUCCCUCAGAAACUCGGACUGCUCUCGUCUGCCGUGUGGUUCUCUUUUCUUCCGAAAGGCCAGUGUCUUAUCUCUCAACUUCAAGUCCAGAGGACUUGUUCAGUCUCCCCCCCUUAAGUCAUUUCCACCAUCCUCAGGCAGCUGUGGGAAGCCGAGAGUCCUGGACUGUUCGUCCGGGUGCCAGCGCUGGCAGUCCCAGUCCGUCCGGUGCAGCAGCCCGGCGCAUUCCCCUCUCUCCCUCCCUCUUGCUCUCCCUCCCUUUCUGUCUUCCUCUCUUUCCUCCUCUACUGCUCCCUCCCUCUCUUGCCUCUUAAGUUUCCUGCACCGUGAAUCCAACUGUGCCAAGCCUUGGCUCCCGCGAACCAAUCCUGAGCGCGACCCGGGCACUGGGACGGCGACUCCGCCAAAGCUGGACGAGGCAGCCGGACCCGUCUGCGCUCGAGCAUGGAGACGGAGCGCCUGGGAGGGCACGUCCGGGGCGCUGGAGACGCCAGGCCCGAGUAGCUCCUCCAUGGAGCCUGCCCAGAGCUGUCCCUUCUCGCAGGAUUCGCCCCAAGUCCUGUGCGGCUGCUGAGAGCGCUCCUUGCUCUGUAAAGUGGAUGUCAGGUGGAUCUAUGUUUCUGAAGGAACAAAGACUCAAAGAAGGCACCGCCAAGGAAGUUUGAGACGCGGGAGAAUGCAGGCUGCGUGCUGGUACGUGCUUUUCCUCCUGCAGCCCACCGUCUACUUGGUAAGUCUUGGAGGGUUCGGGGCUUUCGCAUUCUUACCCCGGCCGGGAGGCAAGGAAACUGGGAACACGCGGGAGAAGGGUUACGCCGCCAGUUCAGCGAGAGCAGCUUCCUAGCAGCUGUGUUGGAGCAACUUUGGCAAGCUGGUCUCUGGAUUCCUGCGGAUUUUCCGGGGUUCCCACCCCAUUUUCUGCUCCAAUCCCCCAGUCUCCUGCGCGUGAUUCUUGAAAGAGGCUAGGGCGCCCCAGACACCCUAAACCCAAGGAGGUAGUGAGAUGGGGUGCUUUAUGUGAUAGAGGGCCAACGAGAAGAAGUGGAAGGCAGGAACUCUCAGUAGCUCAUGCACAGAGUUUAAACGAAGGGAAGUGGGGGUGUAGUUGGGUGGUGGAAAGAACAAAUCUGCCCAGGUCUGUGAGUUUAAAAGUGAAUCUACCCACCCACUUCCCCGAUUUGGAGAUGAGACACAUAAAGAAGCGCAGUUAACUUUCUUUGACUUGUAAGGGUUCCGAUAGGAUAAGUUUAACUAUCAGGGGUACUGCAAGCAAUCGGAGUUAGGUCAGAGAUACUCCAGCAAACAUGUCCACCUUCCUCUCGUCUCGACCUCCCCUUUUCAUCAAAUAACUAAAUCCCAUCUCCAGUGACUAGUCCAUUAUUAGGGAAUGGUAGGCCUUGUCGCCAGGGAGAGUAUUCUAAACAAAGCCGCGGUCCUUGUCCUUCAGUAGCAGAGUUUUCCGGGGGGCUGGACUUUGUACGCUGCUGGAACUCGGUUCCUGGUUGAAGAGCUUUGUUGUGGUGAAUUGGAAGCUGUUUGUGCCAUGUUGAGACAAGGAGAAUGAGAUAUUUCAGGUCUG
This 2195-nucleotide long non-coding RNA is filed under the name Pan troglodytes (chimpanzee). Its description in RNAcentral is "lncRNA (ENSPTRG00000054195.1)". Lineage: Eukaryota; Metazoa; Chordata; Mammalia; Primates; Hominidae. The record is from RNAcentral.